AGUCUAUGGUGUGGGCAGCAUCAUAAUAGGUCCUUGUACCUCUCCCAGGUGUCGUACAUCGACUCGUCAUCAAACUGCACAAAAAAAGAUAUGUAUUUCUAAGUUU
RNAcentral lists this small nucleolar RNA (106 nucleotides) under Ricinus communis (castor bean). RNAcentral describes it as "Plant small nucleolar RNA R71". It matches the Rfam family "Plant small nucleolar RNA R71". Rfam says of the family: R71 is a member of the C/D box family of snoRNAs containing the C (UGAUGA) and D (CUGA) box motifs. Multiple nearly identical copies of this snoRNA have been identified in Arabidopsis, and it is thought to function as a 2'-O-ribose methylation guide for 18S ribosomal RNA. Lineage: Eukaryota; Viridiplantae; Streptophyta; Magnoliopsida; Malpighiales; Euphorbiaceae. The record is from Rfam by way of RNAcentral.